This 67-nucleotide transfer RNA is filed under the name Pentatomidae sp. GM-2014. RNAcentral's name for it is "tRNA-Ser". The record is from RNAcentral. Lineage: Eukaryota; Metazoa; Arthropoda; Insecta; Hemiptera; Pentatomidae.
AAGGGAACAAGAAAUAAAAGAAGCUGCUAACUAUCUUUUUAAGCGGUUAAAAUCCGUUUUUCCCUUA